UUUUACUGUAUGCAAUAUCUGUGUAAAAUUUCCAUAAAUUAGUUUUCCCAAAACUAAACUAAAUUAGUUUUAUAAUAAUUUUGCUAUAUAAUUUAUUGUCCUAUUCAUUUGUUGUAUCUCCCAAAAUGCAUAAUAAACAUGCUUUUAGUCCUGGUGUCGAUACAGUUAUGACAUAAUGAAGCCUCGUUUACUGAAAUCACGUGCCUCUGGCAGUUUGAUACGCGCCCGGAACCACUGUUUCGAAACGAAUGUUUCACAAAAGCAGUGCUUAAAAAGCGUCCAUCACGUGUAUCUUUGUAAAUGCAUUUAUGUCACCUCUAAACACCAUCAAACAGUCUACAGUCAACAGUUAAGACCACACUUAAAUACGCCACCUGGUGGUGAAAACGGUGUAAAUGCAAGUUUUAGAAACGGCAAUAGCAAAUAGAAUAGCAAAUGACAGUGUUAUCGAUCAACCUGUUACCUUAAAAUAACACGUCACGUCAUAAGUACGAUUAUUUCGAAAUGACAGCACGUGACGUUCUAAUCGAAGUUGUUCACGUCCUUGGAAUCGGAAUUAUGCAUUUGUAUGGCAACACUAUCAACACCUAAAUAUAGCAGCUAAAUGAACCCAAGAGCCUGAGGCGGUCAGGUCGAUCAUACAAGUCAUAAGCUCGCAGUUUACAAGCUGUAAUUACGAGUACUACGAGGAUGUGAACACGUUUUACAAGUUGAAUCUCAUAAUUACGCUUUUCUCUUCACAAGACAUUAACUGAUGGACUGGAGUGGUGUGGAUUAUUGUGAUGUUUUUAUCAGCUGUUUGAACUCUCAUUCUGACGGCACCCAUUCACCGCAGAGCAUCCAUUGGUGAACAAGUGAUGCAAUGCUACAUUUCUCCAAAUCUGAAGAAGAAAUAAACUACACGUCUUGGAUGGCCUGGGGGUGAGAAAAUUUUCAGCAAAUUUUAAUUUUUGGUUGAACUAUUCCUUUAAAUAAGUACGAUCUACAAUGGGCUUUAGUGGUGGUUCCAGAAGGCAAUACAUUGUGCAGUUACAAACAUCAGCCGAAAGGUUGUGCUGAUGCUCAACUACAUAACCAACACACGUUUUCAGUCUAGAAUGUUUAUUAUGAAGGUACAGGC
Molecule: long non-coding RNA, 1120 nt
Organism: Cyprinus carpio carpio
Lineage: Eukaryota; Metazoa; Chordata; Actinopteri; Cypriniformes; Cyprinidae
Source: Ensembl